GAUGAAGAACGCAGUGAAAUGCGAUACGUAAUGUGAAUUGCAGAAUUCAGUGAAUCAUCGAAUCUUUGAACGCAUAUUGCGCUCUCUGGUAUUCCGGAGAGCAUGCUUGUUUGAGUAUCAGUAAACACCUCAACUUCCAUAUCUUUUUUGAAAUGGGAGUUGGACUUGAGUGAUCCCAACGCCUUUCCUCACCGAAAAGUGGCGGGUUACUUGAAAUGCAGGUGCAGCUGGACUUUUCUCUGAGCUAUAAGCAUAUCUAUUUAGUCUGCCUAAAAAACAGAUUAUUACCUUUGCUGCAGCUAACAUAAAGGAGAUUAGUUCUUGUGCUGACUGAUGCAGGAUUCACAAAGACAGGCUUCGGCCGACUUUGUAAACUCGAUCUCAAAUCAAGUAAGACUACCCGCUGAACUUAAGCAUAUCAAUAAGCGGAGGA
RNAcentral lists this unclassified non-coding RNA (433 nucleotides) under soil metagenome. RNAcentral describes it as "partial contains 5.8S ribosomal RNA, internal transcribed spacer 2, and large subunit ribosomal RNA". The stretch from base 1 to 120 matches the Rfam family "5.8S ribosomal RNA", at positions 35 to 154 of the family's 154-position model. The record is from RNAcentral.